AUAACUAAAAAAAAAUUCAUUAACAAAAUCAUUGAUUAAAAAAAGUUAAAUUAGUUUAAACUCAUAAAGCAUAGGAUUUAUUGGGGAUGAUUGUAGUUUAGGAUGAGAUCAUAUGUACCAAGUGGGUGUGGAAAUGAAAUUGGUUCAUGAGGAACCACUCCCUCUUUGGUGGAGCUCAUUUUCAAUUUUGAAACUUGAGUGAAGAUAUCUGUAAUUAUAAAAAUCCUCAGGAGAGCUCAUUGGAAUUUGCCCAAAGUAGAUUUUUUAAGGACAUCAUGGUUCCACCCGUUCAUUCAGUCCAUCUACACUCUCUCUAUCUCUACCACUCAAUCUUGAGUUUGCCAUUUCCUGUGGUCUGCCUCUUAUCUUUAUCUUCUACACGCUUUAAUUUAUUCAGAUGCCACCAAUAUGCUUAAAGAUUGGAUGAUAUCAAUUAAUCAAUCAUGGAGUUAAUUCUUGAAAGCAUUAAAGUAAGAGUUCAAAGUUGAAAAACGAGUGUGCCUAAUUUAUUCAGGUAUAGGUAGAGAGCGUUCUCUUCUCAAAUUUGAGUUGCAUCAACUAAUCAAAUAGACAUUGUGGCAUUGAGGAUAUCAGAAUACAUCCACUAGUUCUAGUGCCUCUUCAACUUGCCACAAGGGUAAGCAAACUCUAUUUUGGUUGGCCCGGGACAAAUUAGAAUUCUGGUCCCGCCCUUGCCUCCAAAGCUUGUUAUGAGUUCGCCUCCAAAGCUUGUUAAUUUAUUUGUCAAAGGGUAAAGACCAACAAAAAAUUGUUCAAAACUUCGCCGAUUAGCAAAAAAUUGUUUCAAAAUCCUUUUCUUCUAAGAAAAUUUGAGGGUCAUGUUCAGGUCUUUUGUGAACCCACCCUUUCUAAUAGAGACGGAGCUAUGAUUUACAUAUAGGGGGGCAAAACUUAGAACCUAAAAAUAGUCAUAUUCACGGCUGUUGGAUUUUGAAGUCUUCCUUGCAUACAGUUUGAAGUUCAUGCAUGAAACCUGAGGAAUAUUAUUGUACAAGAGAAAA
This is a long non-coding RNA of Rhododendron vialii, 1022 nucleotides long. RefSeq lists it as uncharacterized. The record is from RefSeq and is a predicted model, not a curated record. NCBI's taxonomy places the organism in Eukaryota, Viridiplantae, Streptophyta, Magnoliopsida, Ericales, Ericaceae. The transcript has 4 exons.